CCAAUUCCUAACAGUCAGGGGCCAUCACUGCACACAGGCGAAAUACUAUGGACUUGGGGCUCAUAUUGGUUUUCUUUGUCCUUCUUUUAAAAUGUAUUCAGUGUGAAGUGCAGUUGUUGGAGUCUGAUGGAGGCUUAGUGCAGCCUGGGAAGUCUCUGAAACUCUCCUGUGCAGCCUCUGGAUUCUCCUUUGGUGAUUAUGGAAUGGACUGGGUCUGCCAGGCUCCAGGGAAGGGACAGGAGUGGGUUGCUUUAAUUAGUUACAAUGGUGGUAGCACCUACUAUACUGACGCUGUGAAGGGCCGGUUCACAAUCUCCAGAGACAAUGCCAAGAACACUCUGUACCUGGAAAUGAGCAGUCUGAAGUCUGAAGACACAGCCAUGUAUUACUGUUCAGGAGACACAGUGAGUGAAUGUUACUGUGAGCUCAGACAAAAACACCCCUGUGGGGAAACACAGGAUCAGCAGGGGGCACUGAGAGCACUUAGAGAUCAGGGUCAGAGAAGAGGCUAUUCAGAGAAACAUUGA
Myodes glareolus (Bank vole) is the source of this 527-nucleotide non-coding RNA. The record is from the annotation of a RefSeq genome assembly. Lineage: Eukaryota; Metazoa; Chordata; Mammalia; Rodentia; Cricetidae.